AGUUUAAGAUGUUUUACAUCAGAUACAUUCAGGUUUUUAAAAUGAUUUUGUGUGAAAGUAGACGGGUCGCCGAAGCUCCCCAUCUCACAGGUGCACAGGUGUGUGUGGAUGAAGGAGAGGCGUGCACAUGCAAAUUAAUGCCAGCACAACCAGCUCCAAGUUCAUUCAGUAAUGAUCCUUCCGCAGGUUCACCUACGGAAA
RNAcentral lists this unclassified non-coding RNA (201 nucleotides) under uncultured fungus. RNAcentral describes it as "sequence contains ITS1". Lineage: Eukaryota; Fungi. The record is from RNAcentral.